RNAcentral lists this ribosomal RNA (903 nucleotides) under Escherichia coli. Its description in RNAcentral is "partial 23S ribosomal RNA". It matches the Rfam family "Bacterial large subunit ribosomal RNA", at positions 323 to 1230 of the family's 2925-position model. The record is from RNAcentral. Lineage: Bacteria; Pseudomonadati; Pseudomonadota; Gammaproteobacteria; Enterobacterales; Enterobacteriaceae.
UGUGUGUUAGUGGAAGCGUCUGGAAAGGCGCGCGAUACAGGGUGACAGCCCCGUACACAAAAAUGCACAUGCUGUGAGCUCGAUGAGUAGGGCGGGACACGUGGUAUCCUGUCUGAAUAUGGGGGGACCAUCCUCCAAGGCUAAAUACUCCUGACUGACCGAUAGUGAACCAGUACCGUGAGGGAAAGGCGAAAAGAACCCCGGCGAGGGGAGUGAAAAAGAACCUGAAACCGUGUACGUACAAGCAGUGGGAGCACGCUUCGGCGUGUGACUGCGUACCUUUUGUAUAAUGGGUCAGCGACUUAUAUUCUGUAGCAAGGUUAACCGAAUAGGGGAGCCGAAGGGAAACCGAGUCUUAACUGGGCGUUAAGUUGCAGGGUAUAGACCCGAAACCCGGUGAUCUAGCCAUGGGCAGGUUGAAGGUUGGGUAACACUAACUGGAGGACCGAACCGACUAAUGUUGAAAAAUUAGCGGAUGACUUGUGGCUGGGGGUGAAAGGCCAAUCAAACCGGGAGAUAGCUGGUUCUCCCCGAAAGCUAUUUAGGUAGCGCCUCGUGAAUUCAUCUCCGGGGGUAGAGCACUGUUUCGGCAAGGGGGUCAUCCCGACUUACCAACCCGAUGCAAACUGCGAAUACCGGAGAAUGUUAUCACGGGAGACACACGGCGGGUGCUAACGUCCGUCGUGAAGAGGGAAACAACCCAGACCGCCAGCUAAGGUCCCAAAGUCAUGGUUAAGUGGGAAACGAUGUGGGAAGGCCCAGACAGCCAGGAUGUUGGCUUAGAAGCAGCCAUCAUUUAAAGAAAGCGUAAUAGCUCACUGGUCGAGUCGGCCUGCGCGGAAGAUGUAACGGGGCUAAACCAUGCACCGAAGCUGCGGCAGCGACACUAUGUGUUGUUGGGUA